GCGUCGGUGGCAGAGUGGUCAAAUGCACGAGGCUGUAAACCUCGCGACUUACGUCUACGCAGGUUCAAAUCCUGCUCGGCGCACAA
Molecule: transfer RNA, 86 nt
Filed under: Candidatus Kaiserbacteria bacterium
Lineage: Bacteria; Candidatus Kaiseribacteriota
Description: tRNA-Tyr
Rfam family: tRNA
About the family: Transfer RNA (tRNA) molecules are approximately 80 nucleotides in length. Their secondary structure includes four short double-helical elements and three loops (D, anti-codon, and T loops). Further hydrogen bonds mediate the characteristic L-shaped molecular structure. tRNAs have two regions of fundamental functional importance: the anti-codon, which is responsible for specific mRNA codon recognition, and the 3' end, to which the tRNAs corresponding amino acid is attached (by aminoacyl-tRNA synthetases). tRNAs cope with the degeneracy of the genetic code in two manners: having more than one tRNA (with a specific anti-codon) for a particular amino acid; and 'wobble' base-pairing, i.e. permitting non-standard base-pairing at the 3rd anti-codon position.
Source: RNAcentral